RNAcentral lists this transfer RNA (66 nucleotides) under Norellisoma spinimanum. Its description in RNAcentral is "tRNA-Leu". Lineage: Eukaryota; Metazoa; Arthropoda; Insecta; Diptera; Scathophagidae. The record is from RNAcentral.
UCUAAUAUGGCAGAUUAGUGCAAUGGAUUUAAACUCCAUGUAUAAAGUAUUUUACUUUUAUUAGAA